CUAAGACCAAUGAGAUGUGUCUUAGAAUUUGCUCUAGAAGUAAAGAUGUUGUGGAGCCUAUCAUAAAGCCUGAGCGGUACAUUAAAUGCAGCGAUAUGGGAAAUGAAGCUCUCAAUGCUGUCGCUGAUGAUGAAAAUAGGAAGCUGGAGAUUAUCCCAAGACAGUAUACUGCUGAAUGGAAGAGAUGACUUCGUAACAUUAGUGAUUGGUGUGUCUCGAGGCAACUUUGGUGGAGUCACCGUGUUCUGGCACGGUAUGUUGUUUUUUAGGGUGAUAACAACGAAGAAUUUGGAAAAAAAUUUGAGCGAUGGGUGGUUGCAGGAAGUGAGGAAGAGGCUCAAGCAUUGGCUGAUCAAAAAUAUGAGGGAAAGAAGUUUCGAUUAGAACAGGACUCAGAUGUGCUUGACAGGUGGUUUUCGUCUGGUCUUUUCCCAUUGUCGGUAUUGGGCUGGCCGGAUUAAGAACUUUUUAUCCAAAUUCAGUUGUUGAAACUAGGCACGAUAUUCUGUUUUUCUGGGUUGCUGAUCGUAUGGUGAUGCUUGGAAAUAUAUUGGGCGAUAAUGUUCCCUUUACUAAGAUGAUUGCCCCUCAACCACAGAAGUAGUCCCACACUAGCCCCCUUAUUCAAAGACUUUUUCACCGUGAAUUUUGUUUUUCGGCAAAGCAUGUGAAGAUGUUUGGGGA
Molecule: long non-coding RNA, 684 nt
Organism: Rosa chinensis
Lineage: Eukaryota; Viridiplantae; Streptophyta; Magnoliopsida; Rosales; Rosaceae
Exons: 3
Source: RefSeq, a predicted model, not a curated record